RNAcentral lists this ribosomal RNA (483 nucleotides) under uncultured bacterium. RNAcentral describes it as "partial 16S ribosomal RNA". It matches the Rfam family "Bacterial small subunit ribosomal RNA", at positions 28 to 523 of the family's 1533-position model. The record is from RNAcentral.
GACGAACGCUGGCGGCGUGCUUAACACAUGCAAGUCGAACGAUGAAGCUGGAGCUUGCUCCGGUGGAUUAGUGGCGAACGGGUGAGUAACACGUGAGCAAUCUGCCCUUGACUCUGGGAUAACUGCGGGAAACUGUAGCUAAUACCGGAUAUGAGAUCUGAAGGCAUCUUCGGGUUUGGAAAGAAUUUCGGUCAAGGAUGAGCUCGCGGCCUAUCAGCUAGUUGGUGAGGUAAUGGCUCACCAAGGCGACGACGGGUAGCCGGCCUGAGAGGGUGACCGGCCACACGGGAACUGAGACACGGUCCAGACUCCUACGGGAGGCAGCAGUGGGGAAUAUUGCACAAUGGGCGAAAGCCUGAUGCAGCAACGCCGCGUGAGGGAUGAAGGCCUUCGGGUUGUAAACCUCUUUUAGCAGGGAAGAAGCGAAAGUGACGGUACCUGCAGAAAAAGCACCGGCUAACUACGUGCCAGCCGCCGCAGUAA